RNAcentral lists this ribosomal RNA (301 nucleotides) under uncultured bacterium. Its description in RNAcentral is "partial 16S ribosomal RNA". It matches the Rfam family "Bacterial small subunit ribosomal RNA", at positions 509 to 807 of the family's 1533-position model. The record is from RNAcentral.
CAGCCGCCGCGGUAAUACGAAGGGUGCAAGCGUUAGUCGGAAUUACUGGGCGUAAAGCGUGCGUAGGCGGUGAGUUAAGUCUGCUGUGAAAUCCCCGAGCUUAACUUGGGAACUGCAUUUGAAACUGGCAAGCUAGAGUCUUGUAGAGGGGGGUAGAAUUCCAGGUGUAGCGGUGAAAUGCGUAGAGAUCGGGAGGAACAUCAGUGGCGAAGGCGGCCAUCUGGGACAACACUGACGCUGAGGCACGAAAGCGUGGGGAGCAAACAGGAUUAGAUACCCCCGUAGUCCCUGUCUCUUAUAC